Molecule: ribosomal RNA, 241 nt
Filed under: uncultured bacterium
Lineage: Bacteria
Description: partial 16S ribosomal RNA
Rfam family: Bacterial small subunit ribosomal RNA
Source: RNAcentral
UACGGAGGGUGCGAGCGUUGUCCGGAAUCACUGGGCGUAAAGGGCGCGUAGGCGGCUUCUCAAGCGUGUGGUGAAAGUCCGGGGCUCAACCCCGGAUCGGCCGUGCGGACUGGGGAGCUCGAGUUCUGUAGAGGCGGGUGGAAUUCCGGGUGUAGCGGUGGAAUGCGUAGAGAUCCGGAAGAACACCGGUGGCGAAGGCGGCCCGCUGGGCAGAGACUGACGCUGAGGCGCGGACAGCGUG